This is a long non-coding RNA of Formica exsecta, 789 nucleotides long. RefSeq lists it as uncharacterized. Lineage: Eukaryota; Metazoa; Arthropoda; Insecta; Hymenoptera; Formicidae. The transcript is spliced from 5 exons. The record is from RefSeq and is a predicted model, not a curated record.
UCCACGUCGGAGAUCUUUCUGCUAAUGUUAAAAUUGUAAUUACAUAAAUAUAAUAGAAAUAAACGAUGUAUAUAUAUAUAUAUCUUACCCGAUCUUGGAAGUAAUACGAGCUGAUAGACAUAUUGUCGUUGGUUGGCACGAGGGACGACCGAAACAAACGAGGAUACCUGUUCAGAAUCGGAAAAGCGCGCCAAGUUAAACAUUGAGAGACGAUAUCGAGCGAUAUACGUACCUACGCAGGAAAACUUGGCGCCAGACGUUCUAGGAAACGUUGUAAUUAGCUGCCGAAGACAUGGUUCCAAGCACGAUCUGUUCUUCCUGACACGAUGCUGAGCGGUUUGCGUGAGAACUUUCAGCAGUUUGGUCAUCAUCGUAUUGUCGAUCGACGUGCCGGGACAAAAUUGAAAGAAUACUGGCUGUAAACUGACAGACCAUCGUCAAUACCAUUACUGCAUAACUGAAAAUAGCAAGAGAAACAUUAUUAUUAUCUACAAUCUUUAUAAUUCACAAAACUGUAUAAAGAGGAUAUGUUCCUACUUUCUUUAUAAAGGGAUUAAUUUUAAAAAUCCUUAGACACUGAUCCUUGGACCAUGUAACGAGUUCGAAUUCGCUGUUUUCUAAAAGCAAAUAGGAAGAGUUGUAAUAAUAUGUCGCCAUUGAAAUUCGAGCACAACAUCUGUGUGGCCUACAAAUGUGUAAAUUGGUGCACUGAGAUUCGACGUGUUCCAUAGCAAAAGACUGUUUUCUCCACGACGCAGCUGUGGUACCACUAUUGUCACUAAACCUUCC